UACGAACGCUGGCGGCGUGCUUAACACAUGCAAGUCGAGCGGUAAGGCCCUUUCGGGGGUACGACGAGCGGCGAACGGGUGAGUAACACGUGGGUGACCUGCCCUCAGCUCUGGGAUAAGCCUGGGAAACCGGGUCUAAUACUGGAUAUGACUCCAUGACGCAUGUUGUGGGGUGGAAAGCCUUGUGCGGCUGAGGAUGGGCCCGCGGCCUAUCAGCUUGUUGGUGGGGUGAUGGCCUACCAAGGCGACGACGGGUAGCCGGCCUGAGAGGGCGGACCGGCCACACUGGGACUGAGACACGGCCCAGACUCCUACGGGAGGCAGCAGUGGGAAUCUUGCGCAAUGGGCGAAAGCCUGACGCAGCGACGCCGCGUGAGGGAUGACGGCCUGU
This 391-nucleotide ribosomal RNA is filed under the name uncultured bacterium. RNAcentral's name for it is "bacterial SSU rRNA". It matches the Rfam family "Bacterial small subunit ribosomal RNA", at positions 29 to 419 of the family's 1533-position model. The record is from RNAcentral.